AGGGCACCACCAGGAGUGGAGCCUGCGGCUUAAUUUGACUCAACACGGGAAAACUCACCCGGCCCGGACACUGGAAGGAUUGACAGAUUGAGAGCUCUUUCUUGAUUCAGUGGGUGGUGGUGCAUGGCCGUUCUUAGUUGGUGGAGUGAUUUGUCUGGUUAAUUCCGAUAACGAACGGGACUCUAGCCUGUUAAAUAGAUCGUUGGCUUACAAACGCCGGCGAGACUUCUUAGAGGGACAGGGGGCGAUUCAGCCGCACGAAACAGAGCAAUAACAGGUCUGUGAUGCCCUUAGAUGUCCGGGGCCGCACGCGCGCUACACUGAAGUGAUCAGCGUGCAUUUUGAAACCUACUCUGUCAAGAGUGGGGAACCCAAUGAACCUUCUUCGUGAUUGGGAUAGGGGAUUGUAAUUAUUCCCCUUGAACGAGGAAUUCCCAGUAAGCGCGAAUCAUAAGUUUGCGCUGAUUACGUCCCUGCCCUUUGUACACACCGCCCGUCGCUACUACCGAUUGAAUGUUU
Molecule: ribosomal RNA, 519 nt
Filed under: uncultured eukaryote
Lineage: Eukaryota
Description: SSU rRNA
Rfam family: Eukaryotic small subunit ribosomal RNA
Source: RNAcentral